RNAcentral lists this small nuclear RNA (113 nucleotides) under Sorex araneus (European shrew). Lineage: Eukaryota; Metazoa; Chordata; Mammalia; Eulipotyphla; Soricidae. The record is from RNAcentral.
GUGCUAUCGCUCUAGCCCACUUCGACAGCACAUAUAGUAAAAUUGGAAGGAUACAGAGAAGAUUAGAUGGCCCCUGCGCAGUCUCUAGUAUUCUUCUUCAAUAAAACAACUUU